AGAGUUUGAUCAUGGCUCAGGAUGAACGCUGGCGGCGUGCCUGAUACAUGCAAGUCGAACGGAUCGGCUAGGGUCUGAAGGUCUGGAGCGGGUAGCGCGCAAGAAAUUGAGCAAAGCCUGCAAAGGGCUAGAGGGCUUGGUGCUGGUCAGUGGCGGACGGGUGAGUAACACGUAGGUGAUCUGCCUCAAAGUGGGGAACAACCGAUCGAAAGGUCGGCUAAUUCCGCAUGUGGUCCCGUGAGGGAAGAAAGGGCUGGAAGGCCCGCUUUGAGAUGAGCCUGCGGCCGAUUAGCUAGUUGGUGAGGUAAUGGCCCACCAAGGCGACCAUCGGUAGCUGGUCUGAGAGGAUGAUCAGCCACACUGGGAUUGAGAACGGCCCAGACUCCUACGGGAGGCAGCAGUAAGGAAUAUUGCACAAUGGGGGCAACCCUGAUGCAGCAACGCCGCGUGGGUGAAGAAGGCCUUCGGGUCGUAAAACCCUUUUCUGGGGGAUGAGGAAGGACAGUACCCCAGGAAUAAGUCUCGGCUAACUACGUGCCAGCAGCCGCGGUAAGACGUAGGAGGCGAGCGUUAUCCGGAUUUAUUGGGCGUAAAGGGCAAGUAGGCGGUUGGGCAAGUUGUGCGUGACAGUUCCCGGCUUAACUGGGAGAGGUCGUACAAUACUGCUUGACUAGAGGGCAGGAGAGGGAAGCGGAACUCCUAAUGUAGCGGUGGAAUGCUCAGAUAUUAGGAAGAACACCAGUGGCGAAGCGGCUUCCUGGCCUGUACCUGACGCUGAGAGGCGAAAGCUAGGGGAGCGAACGGGCUUAGAUACCCCGGUAGUCCUAGCUGUAAACGGUGAUACUAGGUAUUGGGGCACACCCUCAGUGCCAAGCCAACGCGUUAAGUAUCCCGCCUGGGGACUACGCCGCAAGUUAAAACUCAAUGAAUUGACGG
RNAcentral lists this ribosomal RNA (936 nucleotides) under Chloroflexi bacterium enrichment culture clone L11_2_57. RNAcentral's name for it is "bacterial SSU rRNA". It matches the Rfam family "Bacterial small subunit ribosomal RNA", at positions 8 to 916 of the family's 1533-position model. The record is from RNAcentral. Lineage: Bacteria; Bacillati; Chloroflexota.